UUGAUACAACCUACAGGACAAACCUUUACAGCCUGCCAUUUGGUCUUUUCGUUGGUGUAAACAACCAUUUCCAGUCAAUAGUGUUCGGAGGGGUGCUUCUAACAUCUGAGAAAAUAAUUGAUUUCGAAUGGGCAUUCACAAAUUUUGUAGAAAUAAUGAAUGGUAAAGCUCCCCUGACAAUGCUAACAGACCAGUGUGCCGCCAUGGCAAAGGCGAUAAAAUCAACACUACGGACUACAAGGCACAGAUGGUGCAGGUGGCACGUGCUGAAGGAUGCAAAAAAGAAGCUUGGGAACAUCUACUCAAAACGUAAGAAGUUCAAGCGUGAAUUCAAUAAACUAAUAACUGAUGAGAUUGACAUAAGAAGGUUCGAGAAUGAAUGGGUAAAACUACUAAAGGAAUACCGCCUUGUCAAGAACAAGUACUUGAAGAGGUUGUUCAAGCACCGGGACAAAUGGGCUAAACCAUAUUUCAUGGACAUAUUCUGUACCUUUUUGUGAGUAAAUUCAAUGAGCUGCAGAGCGACAGACACGACCAGGAAGGAAAAGAGCAGCAUUCUACUAAACAGGUUCUCAGAAAAAAGCUAAGAGUAGGGGUUCCAAUAGAGCGCCACGCAAGCACGGUGUACACAAGAGCAAUGUAUGAGAAAUUCUGUGAUGAGCUAUUUGAGUCAGGAUCAUUUGCCAUAUUUAAGAGGAUCAAUGAUAGUGAGUUCAUUUUAGUAGACACAAAGAACGAAGAGGAAAUAGAUGCUAAGCAUUUCAGGGUGAAGCUAGAAGGAGAUAAUAAGAUCAGUUGUGAAUGUGGUUUCUACGAACAUAUGGGCAUGCUUUGCCGCCAUACUCUCAAGGUCCUCGUCCAUCUGGACAAAAUGGAAAUCCCAGCUGGAAACAUAAUGAGAAGAUGGACAAAGGAAGGGCACAUACCAUGUAAAGAAACAUCGAUAUCUUCUGCCUUGGAGCAGCAAUCGCAUAAUAUGCAGAGAAAGAUGCUUCUGGCAAAAGCUUGUGAACUUACCAAGGUGGAUGACAAGGGACGACUCGUCUCUUUUGGUAAAACAAUUGAAGAAGUAAUUGGCAAUUCCAUGGUAAGUGAGACAUCAGGUCAACAAAUUGGUGAAGUUAAAGAUGCAACAACUUCUUGGCCAACCUCGAAGCCCACAUCCUGUCCUCCCCGAACAAUAUUCGGUGGAAGGCCACCAAACACAGGACUAAAAUCAUGGAUUGCAAGCACUAAGAAAUCUGCAGCGUGCCAAGCCGAUGAUCCAAGCACUAAAGCAUCAGAGUGGCCAGAGGAAGAGAACCCAGCCAAGAAGAAAACAAAGUGCAUUUUAGAACUUAUGCAGUUGAAGUAACCGUUCAAGUUGCCUUAAUUAUGUUACCGGUAUGCGUAUGUAAAACUGAUGCUCUUUUAUAUUUGGAACCAAUAAUACACGCAUUGUAAUCUUAUUAAAUUUGAACUCAAUAUGAGCAUUGUGUCCAGUAUACAAUCACUACUUUUAUUUA
Molecule: RNA transcript, 1505 nt
Organism: Panicum virgatum (switchgrass)
Lineage: Eukaryota; Viridiplantae; Streptophyta; Magnoliopsida; Poales; Poaceae
Gene name: protein FAR-RED ELONGATED HYPOCOTYL 3-like
Exons: 4
Source: RefSeq, a predicted model, not a curated record